CAGAGGUCCCAAGCGUUGUUCGGAUUUACUGGGCGUAAAGGGUGCGUAGGCGGUCGGGUAAGUCUGAUGUGAAAUCUCUGGGCUCAACCCAGAAAAGGCAUUGGAUACUAUUCGGCUAGAGAGUUGGAGGGGGGACUGGAAUACUUGGUGUAGCAGUGAAAUGCGUAGAUAUCAAGUGGAACACCAGUGGCGAAGGCGAGUCCCUGGACAACUUCUGACGCUGAGGCACGAAAGCUAGGGGAGCAAACAGGAUUAGAUACCCUGGUAGUCCUAGCUGUAAACGGUGCUUAUUUGCUGUAAAAGGAAUCGACCCCUUUUGUGGCGUAGCAAACGCGUUAAAUAAGCCGCCUGGGAAGUACGGUCGCAAGAUUA
This 372-nucleotide ribosomal RNA is filed under the name uncultured organism. RNAcentral describes it as "bacterial SSU rRNA". It matches the Rfam family "Bacterial small subunit ribosomal RNA", at positions 526 to 896 of the family's 1533-position model. The record is from RNAcentral.